GAUGAACGCUAGCGGCAGGCUUAACACAUGCAAGUCGAGGGGCAGCACGUCUUCGGAUGGUGGCGACCGGCGCACGGGUGCGUAACGCGUAUACAAUCUACCUUGUAGAGGGGGAUAGUCCGGGAAACCCGGAUUAAUACCCCAUAGUAUUAUAGAAUAGCAUUAUUUUAUAAUUAAACAUUUAUGGCUACAAGAUGAGUAUGCGUCCUAUUAGUUAGUUGGUGAGGUAACGGCUCACCAAGGCAGCGAUAGGUAGGGGUCCUGAGAGGGAGAUCCCCCACACUGGUACUGAGACACGGACCAGACUCCUACGGGAGGCAGCAGUGAGGAAUAUUGGACAAUGGGCGAGAGCCUGAUCCAGCCAUGCCGCGUGCAGGAAGACGGCCCUAUGGGUUGUAAACUGCUUUUAUACGGGAAGAAACACCCCUUCGUGAAGGGGCUUGACGGUACCGUAAGAAUAAGGAUCGGCUAACUCCGUGCCAGCAGCCGCGGUAAUACGGAGGAUCC
This 507-nucleotide ribosomal RNA is filed under the name uncultured bacterium. RNAcentral's name for it is "bacterial SSU rRNA". It matches the Rfam family "Bacterial small subunit ribosomal RNA", at positions 28 to 535 of the family's 1533-position model. The record is from RNAcentral.